Myotis brandtii (Brandt's bat) is the source of this 1252-nucleotide long non-coding RNA. RefSeq lists it as uncharacterized. Lineage: Eukaryota; Metazoa; Chordata; Mammalia; Chiroptera; Vespertilionidae. The record is from RefSeq and is a predicted model, not a curated record. The transcript is spliced from 3 exons.
AUAACUUGCCCGGUCGUAAGACGUAUAACUCCUGCUCAUGGUCAAAACCAUCAGUUCCCAUUUUUAGCAGAAAAUACUUGAGUCGGUGGCUAGAAAAGUGUGCAUUUCCUAUGCAAAUUCAUGUCAAGACUCUCAAUAUUUUAGAGGGCAAUUAGCUGGAUAUAAAAUAAAACAGCCCAGCUUAGGCCAGGCCAUGGGACUUAACAUUGAUGCAUCUCAGGGACCCAGUGCUAUGAAGGGAGAGGAACUGCCUCACUUCUCUGUUACCAAGGUUCCCAGUCUCCAUGGCAACCCUACAUCCGGAGUUAUUGGGAUAAUUGAGAUACUACCGGUGCCUUAAUGUUUCCAGGUACCUGAGGGUCUCCAGGUAUCAUCACUGCAUGGGCCAGCGGCAGGGUCUACACGGCUAAAACAACCAGUGCAGAGGGGAUACUGAAUUCAUCCUGAUGGCUUCUCAGUGUAUAUUCAGGCCCCAUCAGCAACCAUAGAUGAUAGGUCAAGAAGAGUUUCAUCAAUGGAAUACAGAUCCACCCUCCAGGCCCAGAAAAGCAGCAAAACCAGACCAGCGACCCCAUGGCUGCCUCAGGACCAGCUGGAUUGACGAAGGACCCCCUGCCCUGGUGCCAGCCAGUCAGUCAGCUCUGAAAGGGCUCACCUGGAAAGCUGCUGAAUAUUCCAUUAGGAGCCCCUGGGACCUCCCCUCAAAUCUCCACCCUUAAAACCCUAGGACUGAGGACCCAGUGCGCUUGCUCUCCCUCCUGGGAGCCGCCAGAGCCUUUCCCUUUUCCUGUUCCCUCCCCAUACCCCGCUCCCCGCCAGGCUUGUUACCAUUAUCAUUACCUUCCUCACUCCCAAGCUCCCAGGGCUCUUCCUUUACCUCAUAACUCCUCUCCUCAGCCCAUCUCUUCUACGAAUGACUUCCGCUACCUCUGUGACUUUAUAAAGAAAUAUUCUCUUCUAGUUGAGUCUUGGCUCUGAAUUCUUUCCCAGCCAGAACCCAAGUACCGAGGUUGCUGAACCCAGGUCCAGUCUGACCUUAUGGGUCUAAGACCCACUGCCAUCGGCGCCGCCUGCAAGGGAAGAAAAGAUGAUUCUGGAACCUACAUCAUCAGGCUGGGGUGGACACUGGACACAGAACCAAAUCAAUAGUCAACAUACAGUUGGAGGCGGUUUCCCAUGCAAGCUAAACAGACGUCCUUGGGUCUGAGCGGUCUGAUGUAUUCACUCAGCAAACAGUGUCACCUGCUGAGAA